UGGGGAAUUUUGCGCAAUGGGGGAAACCCUGACGCAGCAACGCCGCGUGGAGGAUGAAGUCCCUUGGGACGUAAACUCCUUUCGAUCGGGACGAUUAUGACGGUACCGGAAGAAGAAGCCCCGGCUAACUUCGUGCCAGCAGCCGCGGUAAUACGAGGGGGGCGAGCGUUGUUCGGAAUUAUUGGGCGUAAAGGGCGCGUAGGCGGUCGGAUAAGUCUUGUGUGAAAUCUUCGGGCUCAACUCGAAGUCUGCACAGGAGACUAUCUGGCUUGAGUGUGGGAGAGGUGAGUGGAAUUCCUGGUGUAGCGGUGAAAUGCGUAGAUAUCAGGAGGAACACCUGUGGCGAAAGCGGCUCACUGGACCACAACUGACGCUGAGGCGCGAAAGCUAGGGGAGCAAACAGGAUUAGAUACCCUGGUAGUCCUAGCCCUAAACGAUGAUCGCUUGGUGUGACGGGUACCCAAUCCCGCCGUGCCGAAGCUAACGCGUUAAGCGAUCCGCCUGGGGAGUACGGUCGCAAGGCUG
RNAcentral lists this ribosomal RNA (525 nucleotides) under uncultured bacterium. Its description in RNAcentral is "bacterial SSU rRNA". It matches the Rfam family "Bacterial small subunit ribosomal RNA", at positions 355 to 896 of the family's 1533-position model. The record is from RNAcentral.